GUAUUCUCUCCACAUUUAUCGUAUCGUAUUUAUGUAUAAGCUGUUUCAUUGGUUUGUUUCGUGAGAACAACGCCUUUAUCAAUUCCAUAAAACGUUCGACGCGUUUAUAGUAAACUCGGAUAUUAGUCAGCGGAACUUUUAUACAAAUAUGUUAUACAAAUAAUUAUAUACUAGUUUUAUUCCAACAAAAAUAACAUCAUGUGUAUUAUAGAUGCAAAAAAUCUUGUUUCCGCAACGUAGAGGAC
Molecule: non-coding RNA, 245 nt
Organism: Paramuricea clavata
Lineage: Eukaryota; Metazoa; Cnidaria; Anthozoa; Malacalcyonacea; Plexauridae
Source: the annotation of a GenBank genome assembly